CUGCCAUUCUGGUUCAGUUGUAAAUAAGAUUUCAUCGAGGUGGGACGGUGAGAUACGCAACUCUCUGCGAUUUCAUUGGAGAUCUGUUACGGAAUUGAUUGAAGUUUUGUUGUGAUUGCGGGACUGGUAUUUAAGUAAUGACGGGUUAUUAGUGGGAUCAUCUCUGCACCAAUUGUUCGUGUGAUUUGAAGUGAUUGCAGAACUGUGUUCGUGUUUGAUUGUCCAAGGAAUUAUUGUGUUCUGUUGAAAGCUCUGGAAUUAAGAAGGCAUGUCAACUUGAAUUUCCCGCACGUUUCCUACUCGAGCGAAAUUCUGGAGGGAACCGAAGGACCAGCCCGGUUUAGACCGGAUAUGAGCAAUUUUCAGCGUGGUCCAAGUAAGAUCUUUUACGACUCUCAACACACGUGGGACCCCGGCGAGACGGACUUGGAAGUUGAAGAGGCCAUCACUUCAUUUAGUGCUCAAGGAGGAGAUUUCCCACCUCCCACAUUGGCCAAACCUGUCCCUCUUUUAGGCCAUAUGAUGCUUCAUCAGCGGCUAAACCGCUCUGCUGAGUUGGACGACAUUUUGGAAGAAUCUUUGGACGAAGCGGACGAUGACACCACCAUUCAUCACCUUUCGUCCCCUUCACCGCCAAUGAUGUCAAGUCCGGCCUCGUCCAACUCUCCGGAGGGCUCCUUCCGACUCCCAAGAGGCUAUAUGACUCGAAGGAGUAAAGACUCUCAAGAAUCCACAGAUUCCUCCGAGUUCUCCUCACCAAGAAUGUCAGAGUCGAAGAGCAAAUCUUUGGCGAUCCCGCUAACUUUGACAAGUCAACAUAGGAGUCAAGACUCGGGCUUUUCAGAUUCAGGAGAUUCCAAUCAAGGUACAGGGUUAGAGGCCAAGAACAGCCGUCGGGCGCAAGUGCAAGAGGUCCACUCGGAAGUGGUUCACGAGACCAGGACCAAUAGUUUUGAUCAGAAACCAUACCACGUGAGCAAAGUGUAUUUUUACUCAGUAAGUGACAUCCUUUCCCAAGAACACGAGGAGCAGAAAAGGCGUCGAGACCACGCAGGCCAUGUGUCCGUAUUGGCUUGCGAUGAUUUCCGGGCUUCCUCGCCCUGUUUGCCUCUUCUCUCACCGCCAAGGUCUCCCCCUUUGCCCCCAAGGGAUCCCAGCAACCCAUACUACGACUCGUUUCAUAUGGAACACAAGCCGAUCAUGCCUUCUCAAACCACCUCCACCCAGACCAAUCUGGGGGUCAAACGUCCGCAGUCCUCCCCGAACAGAAUUCACACUGGCACAAGCUCUUUGGGCCGAUCAAAGAAAAACGCCAAGAAGUCAGGGAUGACGGAUGCACCCAUCCCAACUAGUUUCCCAAAGACGAAUGGAUCUCUCUAUGAGAGCCUGAGCCUUGGUAGGCCGGACAAAAAGACCGAAAGUAUGAAGAGACGAUUGGCGGAUGUUCCCAAUGCUCCACCCUCCCCUAGUCUCAGAGGCUUGGGCUCAACUGGAAAAGGUCCACUUCCUCUGCCGUCCCAUUGUGCAUAUGACGGUUUUGAUGACCCACUCUCGGUGUGGAGGAAUAGCAUCAGAUCAUUGAAUCAGAGCGUAGAAUCCAUGGAGGAACACCUUGGCAUCCGGAAAAGCGACCUCGACCUUGAUAGCCUGACCACGGAUCCCGUGAAUUUUUGGCUCCGAGAACUGAGCAUGGUUCACGAGGCGGAAUGUACGAUCAUGUUGCAAUCGAAACCAGUGGCUGGUCCAGAGGUGGACACGGGUUCGAAUCCCCGCGAUGGAAGAGAGGAAUCGCCGCCCAAUGGAAUGUUCUGGGCGGGCAACGUUAAGGAUACGAUUCGAGCCAUUCAAGCCCGAGCUCACUCCAUAUCAGCUGUUUUCGCCAAGCUUUGCCGCCAACUCGGCCAUCGAGGUGGUGUGCAGAAGCUGGUGCCUCUAGUCCAAGGCCUGUCCCAUCAGGUCCAUUUGUUCCUCGUGGAAUACAACAAGUACAACCAUCUGCAAGUGAGUCUGCCCGGGUAUCGGCCUCGUAACUCGAGCAAAUCCCCGGGCAAGACGCGAAAGCCUCUUCGCUCGAAUGGCAGCAGUACCUUGGAGAUCCCAGAGGAGAUCCUUCAUCAGCAGAGAUUGCUUCUCCAGGCUUGUGACAAGCUCAAACUGACCAUGAGCCGGCAUCAAAUGCAACAACAGAGCAAUACCUCAAUGAACGAGAUCGUGGAUGUGAUCACGCAAUUGGGUGCUGUUUUCACCAAGCUCAUUGAACUCAUGUUAAGUAAAGAGAUCAAGUCCAGCGUUGAGGCCUUAGAUGAGCGCUCCGUUUCCGAUCUAGUCGUCCUCCGCCAAUCUGUGGAUUCCAUCAUCACCCUGGCCCUUGAGGGCAACCAUCUCUGUCGGCUCAUCGCCAAGCAUGGGGGUGUGAGAUCCCUGCUGACCAUUGCGGUGGAUGAUAGGCUCCGCAAUGUCCGGGUCAAUGCAUUCCGUGCUCUCGGCACCGUUUGUUGUGUCCUCGAAGGUAUCAUGGAGCUCGAAGACGCCGGAGGUAUCCAGAUCCUCUCCGAUACUCUCAGGGACAGCAAUGCAACCGAGGAGGAAAAAAGUGAAGCAGCGGGUCUUCUAGCGCAAGUGACCUCGCCGUGGAUUGAAAACAACUCCAGUAUCGAAGGACUGAGUCGACAUUUGAGCCAGUUGGUGGACUCCUUGACCUGUCUGUCCAAGAACACAAAAUCGGCCGAAACGUUCCUGCUCUCAUCGGCUGCUUUGGCCAAUCUCACCUUUAUGGAGCCCUCUGUGGUUCACCUUAUCCAGAAACAUAAUUCAGUUAAGGUUCUGGUCGACUCUGUUCGGGAGCAAAAGGCCAUUUCCAUCUACAUUCAAGAUCAAGUGGCGGCUGUUUUGGCCAAUAUGGCUGCCAACGUGGACAGCCGCGAAGAAGUUGUCAAGCAUGGAGGCCUGUCAAUCCUAUUGAGGUUUAUUCAUGCCGAACCACCAACCAGACCUCAACGACCCGAGGAUUUCGCUCAAAUGGCGGCCACAGAGCGAGUUCAACAGAAGUCCGCCAUCGCACUUUCCAGGCGUAGCAGGAGAGAAUUUCCUGCCAGCCGAAGAACCAAAUAACCGAUGGAGAUAACUAUUCAAUCACGCCGUUCGCCAUCCAUCAAAGCUGGACUCUCUCAAGCCUUUGGCCAUCAUCCAACUUCCAAUCUCGCUACUCAGACAUGCGCAGUUAAAGGGCAAUAUUACCAUGAGGUCUGCUGUCCGGAAGGUAUUCAAUGCCAUGUCAUAUGAUUUGGGCAGGGAUGAAAUAAACAUUGAACCUGUCGAGCUUGUCAUCACGGCGGCUUUGGUACCUUUUGAAUCCAAGAUUAAUGUGCGGACGCGGUUUGGUGACCAAAAACAAUCUCGAAUGACACAUGGGACAUUGUUCAACACCGGUCUCUAUCCGUGUUAAAAAAGUGCCGACUUAAGUGAGAUGGCCAUAACUCAUGUCCAGGCUUCCGUGAGAUGCGAUCGAAUCAGAAAUAUUUGCCUAAUGGAGACAAAAUGACCAUUAUAUUCUUCUCGAGCUUGAACAUGGGCUCGAUUCGAUUUUUUGGAACCAUUGGUUCACUUGGCAUUGCAUUCGAGAUAGGGGAAGUCUCGCGGGUUUGCCGAGGUUGUCAGAUGACGUCGUGGAUGAAAUAUUAUACCGCGGAUGUCAUUUUGAUAUUUCAUCGGUGAUACGGUUCGGACCUUGGCAGGCGGAUUUCUUCCCAAACUUGAACCCAUUCCAAGGCGUUGAAGGAUACUUAUGUACAUGCCGAAAUGAGCGUCGUAAACGGCCGUAUUCAAUUGUUCAAUACUGGUUUCCCCUUGACGCCUUAUGACCACUCAAACAGUCGUACCGUAUGUGUCAGUAUCUCAUUUGAGCUAGCUUCGUGAUGACCCUAUCUCAUUACAAGAUCGUGAGUGAAUUAAAUGCAAACUGAGAUUCACUUUGAGAUUUUGCGUCACUGUGCGAGCUGGCUGCCAAUUUGGCGCUUUUUUACUCACCCGUUUUCCUGUCUGUUUAUAUCCAUCAAGCCAGGUUGGCAGGGUUGCCAAAUGAAAAUAGAAACUUCCGACUCUUCCUGACAGAUUCUGAGGUCAAUCAAUCAGGGUUUUUUUGUUUGCCAGUGUGGUGGUUGGUUAUUGGAGAAUGAUGGUAGGACCAAAUGGGAUUGGUUGGGAUGGUGUUGGCCGAGUGGUCACCUUCUAAUAUCUCUAACACAAAGAGUUCCUCCUUGUUCCCGGCCAAGCAUCGGUUAAAGAGCUGUCAAGUUGUUAAUUGUUGCUUUGCACGCAUCGUAUGUUAAUCAAGCAGAUAAGAUGGACGAUAUCUCAUUUUGUGUAGGAAUAUCGCAUCAUUUGAGAUUAAACCGAGUCCUCCAAAUUGCUUGUCAUUAUUUUGGUUUGUCUAUUUGAGGGUCGUUUCGUUGGCGGAUUUUUUUUUCACCUUGGCCUCGCUGGGUCAGCAAAUCUACUGCGUGAGAUGCCAAUCGACGUAGCUCCAUGAACAGAAACGUCGGACAUGUCGGACAUGACUUGGUCAAAUACAUACAAAUUGCUUUUCGAUUAUGCAAUGACCCGAAAUUGGCCGAGCAAGUGGUCCGAUUGAAUGGUUUGUCCCGAUUAGUGGAGCUAUGCAAAAAUGAAUCCGCUCGGGUUGGUAGCGAUGGUGUUCUGGUCUCGUGUCUGGCUGCAGUC
This is an RNA transcript of Tigriopus californicus, 4719 nucleotides long. It is a transcript of the gene named protein inscuteable homolog, with no coding region annotated. Lineage: Eukaryota; Metazoa; Arthropoda; Copepoda; Harpacticoida; Harpacticidae. The transcript is spliced from 8 exons. The record is from RefSeq and is a predicted model, not a curated record.